Molecule: long non-coding RNA, 256 nt
Filed under: Lathyrus oleraceus (garden pea)
Lineage: Eukaryota; Viridiplantae; Streptophyta; Magnoliopsida; Fabales; Fabaceae
Description: Pisum sativum (pea) long non-coding RNA (PSAT_LNC021031)
Source: RNAcentral
AAAACAAGAAUAACAAUAAAGUUUCUACUCUAAUUAGAAAAGAAUAAGUGCACCUAAAUGUGAGUGCUUUCUCACUAUUUUGUUAAUCCUUAUCCCAGAAUUAAUGAAGUAAAACUAAAAUGUGAAAAUGACCCUUCAUUUGGCCAUUGAGAAGAUACCUCAAAAUCUCUCAAUCUUCUCAUUCACUAGAAAAAGGUUUGAUUCAGUGGUUGACUAAUCCUCUUUAACCACCUUUGUUUGUUGCCUUGCAUUUUCC